RNAcentral lists this long non-coding RNA (467 nucleotides) under Sus scrofa (pig). Its description in RNAcentral is "lncRNA (ENSSSCG00055030893.1)". Lineage: Eukaryota; Metazoa; Chordata; Mammalia; Artiodactyla; Suidae. The record is from RNAcentral.
UCCUGGUUUUCAUGCAGGCUGCCCAGGUUCAAUUCUUGAGCAGAGAAUUAAGAUCUGGCUUCAAACUGUCACCCCCGGCUCUCUCCCCACAGGCGCUAUGGGGGUGGGAGCGCCGUGGGAGGAGCCUGACCACGUGGAGGCUGUGCCUGCAAUUCCGGCGACUGCCACCAGAGGGGCAGCUGCGGACUCUCUUCUCUUCACCCCAAGCCAUUAUGGUCACCAUGGCAACCAGGCUGUGUUCCAACAGGUUAGCAGAACCUGCCAAUGACGCGAGACUGCAGGCUUUGGGGGGGCAUCAGCUCCAAGAUCCUGGCUCAGGACCUGCCAAAUCCCCAGGGAAGGACAUUGGCUGUCCCUCCCCUGGUCCCCAAACCUGCAGAAGGGCAUCGGGGGCUGCUGGUGCAUGGGGUCCGGGUCUCCCUCCCUGCUCGCCUGACUCAUCUUCCCAGCCCUUGUGUUUUUCCUGA